RNAcentral lists this ribosomal RNA (305 nucleotides) under uncultured bacterium. RNAcentral describes it as "bacterial SSU rRNA". It matches the Rfam family "Bacterial small subunit ribosomal RNA", at positions 337 to 659 of the family's 1533-position model. The record is from RNAcentral.
UCCGACGGGGGGCAGCAGUCGGGAAUAUUGCGCAAUUUAGUAAUCUCUUACUCAUUUACUCCUCUUAUCUUAAUAAUUUUUUCUUAUUUUAAACUAUUUUCUUUAUUUAAUAAAUUGACAGUACCUCAGGAGGAAGCUCCGGCUAACUAUGUGCCAGCAGCCGCGGUAAUACAUAGGGAGCAAGCGUUAUCCGGAUUUAUUGGGGGUAAAGGGUGCGUAGACGGGAAAUUAAGUUAGUUGUGAAAUCCACCGGCUUAACUGAGGAACUGCAACUAAAACUGAUUUUCUUGAGUACUGGAGAGGAA